RNAcentral lists this ribosomal RNA (497 nucleotides) under uncultured bacterium. RNAcentral describes it as "partial 16S ribosomal RNA". It matches the Rfam family "Bacterial small subunit ribosomal RNA", at positions 28 to 507 of the family's 1533-position model. The record is from RNAcentral.
GAUGAACGCUGGCGGCGUGCCUAAUACAUGCAAGUCGAGCGAACGGACGAGAAGCUUGCUUUUCUGAUGUUAGCGGCGGACGGGUGAGUAACACGUGGAUAACCUACCUAUAAGACUGGGAUAACUUCGGGAAACCGGAGCUAAUACCGGAUAAUAUUUUGAACCGCAUGGUUCAAAAGUGAAAGACGGUCUUGCUGUCACUUAUAGAUGGAUCCGCGCUGCAUUAGCUAGUUGGUAAGGUAACGGCUUACCAAGGCAACGAUGCAUAGCCGACCUGAGAGGGUGAUCGGCCACACUGGAACUGAGGCACGGUCCAGACUCCUACGGGAGGCAGCAGUAGGGAAUCUUCCGCAAUGGGCGAAAGCCUGACGGAGCAACGCCGCGUGAGUGAUGAGGGUCUUCGGAUCGUAAAACUCUGUUAUUAGGGAAGAACAUAUGUGUAAGUAACUGUGCACAUCUUGACGGUACCUAAUCAGAAAGCCACGGCUAACUACGUG